CAAGCCGCCGCGGGGAUACAGAGGGUGCGAGCGUUAAUCGGAUUUACUGGGCGUAAAGCGUGCGUAGGCGGCUUCUUAAGUCGGAUGUGAAAUCCCUGAGCUUAACUUAGGAAUUGCAUUCGAUACUGGGAAGCUAGAGUAUGGGAGAGGAUGGUAGAAUUCCAGGUGUAGCGGUGAAAUGCGUAGAGAUCUGGAGGAAUACCGAUGGCGAAGGCAGCCAUCUGGCCUAAUACUGACGCUGAGGUACGAAAGCAUGGGGAGCAAACAGGAUUAGAUACCCCAGUAGUCCCUGUCUCUUAUA
This 301-nucleotide ribosomal RNA is filed under the name uncultured bacterium. Its description in RNAcentral is "partial 16S ribosomal RNA". It matches the Rfam family "Bacterial small subunit ribosomal RNA", at positions 508 to 808 of the family's 1533-position model. The record is from RNAcentral.